Molecule: ribosomal RNA, 253 nt
Filed under: uncultured bacterium
Lineage: Bacteria
Description: partial 16S ribosomal RNA
Rfam family: Bacterial small subunit ribosomal RNA
Source: RNAcentral
UACGUAGGGCGCAAGCGUUAUCCGGAAUUAUUGGGCGUAAAGAGCUCGUAGGCGGUUUGUCGCGUCUGCCGUGAAAGUCCGGGGCUCAACUCCGGAUCUGCGGUGGGUACGGGCAGACUAGAGUGAUGUAGGGGAGACUGGAAUUCCCGGUGUAGUGGUGAAAUGCGUAGAUAUCGGGAGGAACACCAGUGGCGAAGGCGACUACCUGGCCUGUUCUUGACGCUGAGGCGCGAAAGCUAGGGGAGCAAACGGG